RNAcentral lists this ribosomal RNA (562 nucleotides) under uncultured bacterium. RNAcentral's name for it is "bacterial SSU rRNA". It matches the Rfam family "Bacterial small subunit ribosomal RNA", at positions 364 to 917 of the family's 1533-position model. The record is from RNAcentral.
UUGCGCAUGGGGGAAACCUUGNCGCAGCAACGCCGCGUGGGUGAUGAAGGCCUUCGGGUCGUAAAGCCCUGUCAGGUGGGAAGAAACAUGCGGAUGUUAAUACCAUCCGCACUUGACGGUACCACCGGAGGAAGCACCGGCUAACUCCGUGCCAGCAGCCGCGGUAAUACGGAGGGUGCAAGCGUUGUUCGGAAUUAUUGGGCGUAAAGCGCGUGUAGGUGGUUGGGUAAGUCAGAUGUGAAAGCCUUCUGCUUAACAGAAGAAGUGCAUUUGAAACUGCUCGGCUAGAGUACGGGAGAGGAGAGUGGAAUUCCCGGUGUAGAGGUGAAAUUCGUAGAUAUUGGGAGGAACACCGGUAGCGAAGGCGGCUUUCUGGCCUGAUACUGACGCUGAGACGCGAAAGCGUGGGUAGCAAACAGGAUUAGAUACCCUGGUAGUCCACGCCGUAAACGAUGGGAACUAGGUGUAGGAAGUGUUGACCCUUUCUGUGCCGAAGCUAACGCAUUAAGUUCCCCGCCUGGGGAGUACGGUCGCAAGGCUAAAACUCAAAAAAAUUGACGGA